Molecule: ribosomal RNA, 217 nt
Filed under: uncultured bacterium
Lineage: Bacteria
Description: partial 16S ribosomal RNA
Rfam family: Bacterial small subunit ribosomal RNA
Source: RNAcentral
CACGUAGGGCGCAAGCGUUGUCCGGAAUUAUUGGGCGUAAAGAGCUCGUAGGCGGUCUGUUGCGUCCGCUGUGAAAACUCGGGGCUUAACCCCGAGCCUGCAGUGGAUACGGGCAGACUAGAGGUAGGUAGGGGAGAAUGGAAUUCCCGGUGUAGCGGUGAAAUGCGCAGAUAUCGGGAGGAACACCGGUGGCGAAGGCGGAGAUGGCCUGGCCUAG